GCGUUGUCCGGAAUCAUUGGGCGUAAAGCGCGUGUAGGCGGCUCGAUAAGUCUGCUGUGAAAGUCCAGGGCUCAACCCUGGAAAGCCGGUGGAAACUGUCGAGCUAGAGUCCGGAAGAGGCGAGUGGAAUUCCUGGUGUAGCGGUGAAAUGCGCAGAUAUCAGGAGGAACACCAAUGGCGAAGGCAGCUCGCUGGGACGGUACUGACGCUGAGACGCGAAAGCGUG
RNAcentral lists this ribosomal RNA (226 nucleotides) under uncultured bacterium. RNAcentral's name for it is "partial 16S ribosomal RNA". It matches the Rfam family "Bacterial small subunit ribosomal RNA", at positions 538 to 763 of the family's 1533-position model. The record is from RNAcentral.